UAGGGUGACCAACUGUCCUGGUUUCCCUGGGACUGAGAGGCUUCCUGGGAUGCAGGAAUUUCAGUGCU
Molecule: microRNA precursor, 68 nt
Filed under: Tursiops truncatus (common bottlenose dolphin)
Lineage: Eukaryota; Metazoa; Chordata; Mammalia; Artiodactyla; Delphinidae
Description: miRNA (ENSTTRG00000024574.1)
Source: RNAcentral